Long non-coding RNA from Coregonus clupeaformis (lake whitefish), 1450 nucleotides. RefSeq lists it as uncharacterized. The record is from RefSeq and is a predicted model, not a curated record. The transcript has 3 exons. NCBI's taxonomy places the organism in Eukaryota, Metazoa, Chordata, Actinopteri, Salmoniformes, Salmonidae.
CAAUUCUGACUUGUGCUCUGAUAUCUGUUUCACUGAUUUCUGCUCUCGUAAAAGAGUUAGACGACUCAACUGACAUAGAUAACCUGACCGCCUUGCAGCCAAAGGUAAGGUUCAUUUACUCAUUUAGGUUUUAUUACAGCUACAAAAUUGUCCAUCUUGUGUUCAAUGAAAAGUGAUUGUCAGCAUUUGUCAUUCACCCAUAUUGUCAAUCAUAUGAUACCCAGAAGUCAAAGGUGACAAGGAAGAAAUCAGCUGAAGAGUUCCUAAAACAGUACCGGUCAUCAGACAGUGUUAAGCUCACGAACAGAGUGGAUGAAUUGGAGCAGGACAUCUCCAAACUUAAACAGGAGAACUUAGACCUGAAACAGCAGAAUGACACAUGGAAGGAGAUUGUUCAUCAAGAUGUGCCUGGGCUCCUCAUAGAUAUGAGGAAACUGGUGAAAAUGGCUUCUCCUGCACUACCUAGCCCCGACCUCUUCAGCCCUGCGUCUGGCUCUGCACAACCAAGCUCCCCACCCUCCGGUUCCUGUGACUGAUUCAGAUCAGGUUGAAAUCCACCCAGGGACAGGGGUGUUUGUUGACAAGCUGGCCUGGGCCUAUGCUGUAAAUGCCAACUCUGCCUCAUCCUUUGUAUGGACAUUGAUCACGGCAGUCUAUCCCGUGGAGGUCUUGCUGGUGAGCAACCUCCGGGGGGAUGUCAAAGUGGAGUAGACCACACCGUCAGCCGCUAGAGAAAACAAAGCUUGACGCCAUCUACAGUAAACAAAAAAAAAAGUGAACAGGAACACAGGCCUUUGUACAUUUACUUACUUUCAUCCUUUAUUGUAAGUGUUAACUUAAUUCCCUUUUCCCCUUUUAUACCAUAGGGCCUACUCUCCAGAAGUGGCCGAAUACCAUUUCAGUUAACUUCAGCUCAGCUAUCAAUGCAAAAAUCUCUGAGCUGCGUUCCAAGUCCAAGAAUAAGGAGCAGAAUGUAAGCUCAAUGGACCUUUUGAAUAGAGAACAGAAUGGACAUUAGAGAAAGAUCAGCUAAAUCGUUCAACUUAAAUUGGUUUAUUAUACAAAAGUUUCAACUUCACAUAUUCUAUGAAUAUGGAUAAAGAAUCAUAAUUCAAGACUACUGUUCUGUUCUAUAGUACCACAGAAAGUUAAACUAAGUUAUGUUAAGUUAAGCAACCCAGGACACCCAAAAGUAUGUUGUCUGCUGUUUGCCUCUAUAGGAUAUACUGUAGAAUGUUAAAAUAAUGGUCAGUGAAAAUCUCACUUUUAAAAGUUCAUAUUAUGUUAACUCAUACCCAAAUUAUGUUUUUGACUCAUCCUAUUCUCGUAUUUGUGGUUAAAGCAUAAAUUGGAAGAAAUUAAAACACUUGUUUUUUUACCACCUCAAAAAAAUGCUUGUGUUUCCUCAUAGAAGAUGAUGUCAUCCUCCUGAGGAGGACGAGCUGGCCAA